UACACGACCGUACCGCAAACCGACACUGGUGCGCGAGAUGAGUAUUCUAAGGCGCUUGAGAGAACUCAGGAGAAGGAACUCGGCAAAUUGACACCGUAACUUCGGAAGAAGGUGUGCCUUUAGUAGGUGAACCUGUACAAGGGGAGCCCAAUGAGGUUGCAAAAAAUCGGUGGCUGCGACUGUUUAAUAAAAACACAGCACUCUGCAAACACGAAAGUGGACGUAUAGGGUGUGACGCCUCCCCGGUGCUGGAAGAUUAAAUGAUGGGGUGCAAGCUCUUGAUUGAAGUCCCAGUAAACGGCGGCCGUAACUAUAACGGUCCUAAGGUAGCGAAAUUCCUUGUCGGGUAAGUUCCGACCUGCACGAAUGGCGUAACGAUGGCCACACUGUCUCCUCCUGAGACUCAGCGAAGUUGAAAUGUUUGUGAUGAUGCAAUCUCCCCGCGGAAAGACGGAAAGACCCCAUGAACCUUUACUGUAGCUUUGUAUUGGACUUUGAACAGAUCUGUGUAGGAUAGGUGGGAGGCUUUGAAGUGUGGUCGCUAGAUCGCAUGGAGCCAACGUUGAAAUACCACCCUGGUGUGUUUGAGGUUCUAACCUAGGCCCGUAAUCCGGGUCGGGGACAGUGCAUGGUAGGCAGUUUGACUGGGGCGGUCUCCUCCCAAAGCGUAACGGAGGAGUUCGAAGGUACGCUAGGUACGGUCGGACAUCGUGCUAAUAGUGCAAUGGCAUAAGCGUGCUUAACUGCGAGACUGACAAGUCGAGCAGAUGCGAAAGCAGGACAUAGUGAUCCGGUGGUUCUGUAUGGAAGGGCCAUCGCUCAACGGAUAAAAGGUACUCUGGGGAUAACAGGCUGAUACCGCCCAAGAGUUCAUAUCGACGGCGGUGUUUGGCACCUCGAUGUCGGCUCAUCUCAUCCUGGGGCUGUAGCCGGUCCCAAGGGUAUGGCUGUUCGCCAUUUAAAGAGGUACGUGAGCUGGGUUUAAAACGUCGUGAGACAGUUUGGUCCCUAUCUUCCGUGGGCGCUGCAGAUUUGAGGAAGCCUGCUCCUAGUACGAGAGGACCGGAGUGGACACACCUCUGGUGUAUCGGUUGUCACGCCAGUGGCAUUGCCGAGUAGCUAUGUGUGGAAGAGAUAACCGCUGAAAGCAUCUAAGCGGGAAACUCGUUUCAAGAUGAGAUCUGCCGGGGCCUUGAGCCCCCUAAAGAGUCGUUCAA
This 1217-nucleotide ribosomal RNA is filed under the name metagenome. Its description in RNAcentral is "bacterial LSU rRNA". It matches the Rfam family "Bacterial large subunit ribosomal RNA", at positions 1635 to 2842 of the family's 2925-position model. The record is from RNAcentral.